RNAcentral lists this ribosomal RNA (365 nucleotides) under uncultured Anaerolineaceae bacterium. RNAcentral's name for it is "bacterial SSU rRNA". It matches the Rfam family "Bacterial small subunit ribosomal RNA", at positions 1003 to 1382 of the family's 1533-position model. Lineage: Bacteria; Bacillati; Chloroflexota; Anaerolineae; Anaerolineales; Anaerolineaceae. The record is from RNAcentral.
GAGAAGUGCUUUAGCAAUAAAGAACCCGGUGACAGGUGCUGCAUGACUGUCGUCAGCUCGUGUCGUGAGAUGUUCGGUUAAGUCCGCUAACGAGCGCAACCCUCGUCGUAUGUUAUAUGUGUCAUACGAGACUGCCGGUAAAAGCCGGAGGAAGGUGAGGAUGAUGUCAAGUCAGCAUGACCUUUAUAUCCCAGGGCUACACACACGCUACAAUGGUCUGUACAAUGGGUAGCCAAGCCGCGAGGCGGAGCCAAUCCUGAAAGCAGGCCUCAGUUCAGAUUGCAGUCUGCAACUCGACUGCAUGAAGCCGGAGUUGCUAGUAACCGCAGGUCAGCAAUACUGCGGUGAAUACGUUCCCGGGUCUU